UUUUAAAAAUGUUUUCAUAUAUAGGGAGCACCGCAUUAUAAGGCGCGUACAAUAGAAGCUACAAUAGUGGCUGAGGUUGAGUUAUGGAUCCACUAGAUGUUGCUACACUAAAGGAAUACAAUACAAUACAGCUUUACUUAUAUAGCGCUUUCACAACCACUGCAGCUGUAACAAAGCACUUUACACAACAGUUAAAACACUUCGUCCAAGAAAGCAGAAUAUUGGUCCAUAAAUAAGGCCCAUCAGAUUAUAAGGCGCACUGUCGGCUUUUGAGAAAAUUGAAUGUUUUUAGGUGUGCCUUAUAGUGCGGAAAAUACAUAGAAGUA
Long non-coding RNA from Hippocampus comes (tiger tail seahorse), 326 nucleotides. RefSeq lists it as uncharacterized. The record is from RefSeq and is a predicted model, not a curated record. The transcript has 2 exons. NCBI's taxonomy places the organism in Eukaryota, Metazoa, Chordata, Actinopteri, Syngnathiformes, Syngnathidae.